This is a long non-coding RNA of Solanum verrucosum, 155 nucleotides long. RefSeq lists it as uncharacterized. The transcript has 3 exons. NCBI's taxonomy places the organism in Eukaryota, Viridiplantae, Streptophyta, Magnoliopsida, Solanales, Solanaceae. The record is from RefSeq and is a predicted model, not a curated record.
UGAGAGUUGAAGUCCAUACAGGUGGCUCCGUAACUGAUAAUUGGAUAAAUUUCUUAUUUGGUGAGAGUUGAAGUCCAUACAGGUGGCUCCGUGACUGAUAAUUGGAUAAAUUCCUUAUUUGAUAUCCUAUUAUUGUCUUAGCAACCGUUUUAUUG